Molecule: transfer RNA, 58 nt
Filed under: Bacillus anthracis (anthrax bacterium)
Lineage: Bacteria; Bacillati; Bacillota; Bacilli; Caryophanales; Bacillaceae
Also listed under: 1 other name
Description: tRNA-Glu
Rfam family: tRNA
About the family: Transfer RNA (tRNA) molecules are approximately 80 nucleotides in length. Their secondary structure includes four short double-helical elements and three loops (D, anti-codon, and T loops). Further hydrogen bonds mediate the characteristic L-shaped molecular structure. tRNAs have two regions of fundamental functional importance: the anti-codon, which is responsible for specific mRNA codon recognition, and the 3' end, to which the tRNAs corresponding amino acid is attached (by aminoacyl-tRNA synthetases). tRNAs cope with the degeneracy of the genetic code in two manners: having more than one tRNA (with a specific anti-codon) for a particular amino acid; and 'wobble' base-pairing, i.e. permitting non-standard base-pairing at the 3rd anti-codon position.
Source: RNAcentral
GGCCCGUUGGUCAAGUGGUUAAGACACCGCCCUUUCACGGCGGUAACACGGGUUCGAA